CAGAGUUCUCGCCCUCGCGGGUAGAUCUCCCACCCACUGUUAUUGCUACCGUGUUGCUUUGGCGGGCUGCUGGGCCUAGCCCGGCCGCCGGCUCCGGCUGGCGCGCCCGCCAGAGGACCCCUAAACUCUGAAUAUUUUUGUCGUCUGAGUACUAUAUAAUAGUUA
This 165-nucleotide unclassified non-coding RNA is filed under the name uncultured Oidiodendron. RNAcentral's name for it is "sequence contains ITS1". The record is from RNAcentral. Lineage: Eukaryota; Fungi; Ascomycota; Leotiomycetes; Myxotrichaceae.